This 448-nucleotide ribosomal RNA is filed under the name uncultured bacterium. RNAcentral describes it as "bacterial SSU rRNA". It matches the Rfam family "Bacterial small subunit ribosomal RNA", at positions 330 to 794 of the family's 1533-position model. The record is from RNAcentral.
ACCAGACUCCUACGGGAGGCAGCAGUGGGGGAUAUUGCACAAUGGGGGAAACCCUGAUGCAGCGACGCCGCGUGAGUGAAGAAGUAUUUCGGUAUGUAAAGCUCUAUCAGCAGGGAAGAAAAAAGACGGUACCUGACUAAGAAGCCCCGGCUAACUACGUGCCAGCAGCCGCGGUAAUACAUAGGGGGCAAGCGUUAUCCGGAUUUACUGGGUGUAAAGGGAGCGUAGACGGCAAUACAAGUCGGAAGUGAAAUACCCGGGCUCAACCUGGGAACUGCUUUGGAAACUGUAUGGCUGGAGUGCUGGAGAGGUAAGCGGAAUUCCUAGUGUAGCGGUGAAAUGCGUAGAUAUUAGGAGGAACACCAGUGGCGAAGGCGGCUUACUGGACAGUAACUGACGUUGAGGCUCGAAAGCGUGGGGAGCAAACAGGAUUAGAUACCCGUGUAGU